UAGUAACGGCGAGUGAAGCGGCAACAGCUCAAAUUUGAAAUCUGGCGUAAGCCCGAGUUGUAAUUUGUAGAGGAUGCUUCUGGGCAGCGGCCGUUCUAAGUUCCUUGGAACAGGACGUCAUAGAGGGUGAGAAUCCCGUAUGUGACCGGCACGUACCCUCCACGUAGCUCCUUCGACGAGUCGAGUUGUUUGGGAAUGCAGCUCUAAAUGGGAGGUAAAUUCCUUCUAAAGCUAAAUACCGGCCAGAGACCGAUAGCGCACAAGUAGAGUGAUCGAAAGAUGAAAAGCACUUUGGAAAGAGAGUUAAAAAGCACGUGAAAUUGUUGAAAGGGAAGCGCUUACAACCAGACUUCGUGGCGGUGUUCCGCCGGUCUUCUGACCGGUCUACUCGCCGCCGCGAGGCCAGCAUCGUCUGGGGCCGCCGGAUAAGACCUUGGGAAUGUAGCUUGCCUCGGUAAGCGUUAUAGCCCCUGGUGAUGCGGCGUGUCUCGGGCGAGGUCCGCGCUUCGGCAAGGAUGCUGGCGUAAUGGUUGUCAGCGGCCCGUCUUGAAACACGGACCAAGGAGUCUAACAUCUAUGCGAGUGUUCGGGUGUCAAACCCCUACGCGUAAUGAAAGUGAACGGAGGUGGGAAGCGCAAGCUGCACCAUCGACCGAUCCUGAUGUCCUCGGAUGGAUUUGAGUAAGAGCAUAGCUGUUGGGACCCGAAAGAUGGUGAACUAUGCCUGAAUAGGGUGAAGCCAGAGGAAACUCUGGUGGAGGCUCGCAGCGGUUCUGACGUGCAAAUCGAUCGU
Molecule: ribosomal RNA, 793 nt
Filed under: Phaeophleospora pteridivora
Lineage: Eukaryota; Fungi; Ascomycota; Dothideomycetes; Mycosphaerellales; Mycosphaerellaceae
Description: eukaryotic LSU rRNA
Rfam family: Eukaryotic large subunit ribosomal RNA
Source: RNAcentral